This 253-nucleotide ribosomal RNA is filed under the name uncultured bacterium. RNAcentral describes it as "partial 16S ribosomal RNA". It matches the Rfam family "Bacterial small subunit ribosomal RNA", at positions 524 to 776 of the family's 1533-position model. The record is from RNAcentral.
UACGUAGGUGGCAAGCGUUGUCCGGAUUUAUUGGGCGUAAAGCGCGCGCAGGCGGCCCCUUAAGUCUGAUGUGAAAUCUUGCGGCUCAACCGCAAGCGGUCAUUGGAAACUGGGGGACUUGAGUACAGAAGAGGAAAGCGGAAUUCCACGUGUAGCGGUGAAAUGCGUAGAGAUGUGGAGGAACACCAGUGGCGAAGGCGGCUUUCUGGUCUGUAACUGACGCUGAGGCGCGAAAGCGUGGGGAGCAAACAGG